This 479-nucleotide ribosomal RNA is filed under the name uncultured bacterium. RNAcentral describes it as "partial 16S ribosomal RNA". It matches the Rfam family "Bacterial small subunit ribosomal RNA", at positions 28 to 507 of the family's 1533-position model. The record is from RNAcentral.
GAUGAACGCUGGCGGCGUGCUUAACACAUGCAAGUCGAACGAAGCACUUAAGAUUGAUUCUUCGGAUGACGUCUCUUGUGACUUAGUGGCGGACGGGUGAGUAACGCGUGGGUAACCUGCAUCACACAGGGGGAUAACAGAUAGAAAUGACUGCUAAUACCGCAUAACCCGAUAGGAUCGCAUGAUCCAGACGGGAAAGAUUUUUCGGUGUGAGAUGGACCCGCGUCUGAUUAGCUAGUUGGUGAGGUAACGGCCCACCAAGGCGACGAUCAGUAGCCGGCCUGGGAGGCGGCCCCGCCACAUUGGGACUGAGACACGGCCCCAACUCCUACGGGAGGCAGCAGUGUGUAAUAUUGUACAAUGGAGCCAGCCCUGAUGCAGCGACGCCGCGUGUGUGAAGAAGUAUUUCGUAAUGUAAAGCUCUAUCAGCAGGGGAGAAAAUGACGGUACCUGACUAAGAAGCCCCGGCUAACUACGUG